RNAcentral lists this ribosomal RNA (289 nucleotides) under uncultured bacterium. RNAcentral describes it as "partial 16S ribosomal RNA". It matches the Rfam family "Bacterial small subunit ribosomal RNA", at positions 773 to 1060 of the family's 1533-position model. The record is from RNAcentral.
GUGGAUUAGAUACCCUGGUAGUCCACGCCGUAAACGAUGGAUACUAGCUGUUGGAGGUAUCGACCCCUCCAGUAGCGAAGCUAACGCGUUAAGUAUCCCGCCUGUGGAGUACGGUCGCAAGACUAAAACAUAAAGGAAUUGACGGGGACCCGCACAAGCGGUGGAUUGUGUUCUUUAAUUCGAUGAUAAACGAUGAACCUUACCAGGGUUUGACAUCCCGAGAAUUACUCCGAAAGGAGUGAGUGCUUUAUUGAACUCGGUGACAGAUCUUGCAUGGCCGUCGCCAACU